ACUGUUGCUGGCUCUUAGGAGUAAUUGUGCACGUCUAGCGUGUUUUUCUUUAACCCACCUGUGAACCUUUUGUAGAUUUGAAAAACAUCACCUUGUCGAUAACAUUCGGUUAGAAGAUUGCAAUGCGCAAGUUUGCUCUCUUUGAAUGUUUUUCAAUCUAUGUAUUUAUUAUAAACUCUAAAAACAAACAUAGAAUGUAUAACUAUUGGCCUUUAGUGCCUUUAAUCUAAAAUACAACUUUCAACAACGGAUCUCUUGGCUCUCGCAUCGAUGAAGAACGCAGCGAAAUGCGAUAAGUAAUGUGAAUUGCAGAAUUCAGUGAAUCAUCGAAUCUUUGAACGCACCUUGCGCUCCUUGGUAUUCCGAGGAGCAUGCCUGUUUGAGUGUCAUUAAAUUAAAUCAAACCUUUGUUGUUUUAUAUAACAAAAGUUUGGAAUGUGGAGGUUUUUGUAGGCUUUCUUAAAGUCUGCUCCUCUUAAAAGCAUUAGCGAAAAUCUUUGUGAGCAAAUUUUCCUGGUGUGAUAAUUAUCUACGCCAUGGCUUGAUCACAUUAAAGAACUUUUUUUGCUUCUAAUCGUCGUCAUUUGACGACAACUAUUGAACAAUUUGACCUCAAAUCAG
Molecule: ribosomal RNA, 621 nt
Filed under: Rugosomyces carneus
Lineage: Eukaryota; Fungi; Basidiomycota; Agaricomycetes; Agaricales; Tricholomataceae
Description: eukaryotic LSU rRNA
Rfam family: 5.8S ribosomal RNA (bases 236-389)
Source: RNAcentral